This 1226-nucleotide long non-coding RNA is filed under the name Bos taurus (domestic cattle). RNAcentral's name for it is "long non-coding RNA NONBTAT018549". Lineage: Eukaryota; Metazoa; Chordata; Mammalia; Artiodactyla; Bovidae. The record is from RNAcentral.
GGAGAAAACCAAUGUAAAGUUUAUUAAGCGAACUGAUCAUUCGUACACAUUUUCCAUCUGGUUAUAAUGGAUAGUCUUUAUUUAUAGCAAAAUACUUGGGAUGGGAUUAUGCAUACGGUAAUCUUGCUGUAUGGGUCUUGUUACAAUGCAGAGUAUUCAAGCAAAUCUGAGUGUGGAUCCAUGCAAGCAGGAAUAUCAUAUAUAAUAUCUUAGUAAAUUCAGCACAGACAUGGAAUACUAAGAAUGGGGCACCAACCAAUCAGAAUAACCACUCAAAAACCAAUCCAUGUAUUUGACAGACUGUAUCCAAGGAAUUUUGAUAGUUUCCAAGGAUGUAGUAAAAAAUAAGAAUUAGUCACCAUUUUCAAACAGCAGUCACUGUUGGGAUUCCCCAGGUACCAUUAAAAAGCAGGCAGACUCCAUCAACACUUAUUCCAUAAAAAUAAAAAUAAUGGAAAAAUAAAAAGGAAUUAUGAGAAGAUGAAAAAGCAAACAAUCAUUCUGAACAUACAGGAAUAAGAAAGGCCUUGCAAACUGACAUAUGAAUUGGGUCUUAGAUAUUAAGUCAAAGCUUAUAAUAUUCCCAACAUUUAAAGUGCCUUAUUUCUCUCCUGAGCACCCACACAAUUGUUUAUCCCAUCCCAUUUAUUGUCUGACACAAAGUAUUUUGAUGCCUGGAAAUACAUGAAAUCCUCAGAAUGGAGAAAUUUAGAUACAGGUUUCCAGCUGAGAAGACUGCCCCACUGAUCAAGUCCACUCUCAACUCCCUGGCUCAUUACACUUAUAAAUAAACAAUCAUCAAUGUUCCUUUGAAGUUGCAACACAAGGACAAGUUCCAUUUUGUAGCAUUUUGUUCCAGACUGUUCAUUAAAUGGUACUUAUAAAUUCACAUGAAUCAUGACCCUCCUCUCCACAAAAUGAAUACAUGCACUACUUUAUUCAAAAGUUUAUCUCAACCACAUACAACAGUGACUAAACCUUUCCCGGAAGGGAGCAAAUAUAAAAAUCAACAUUUACAGCCUUCUUGUUUCUUCUGAAUGAUUCAAGUGACUCUGAUACAGCAUUUCUCUUGCUGAUCAUACUAUAUAAUAUUUAAUACCUUACUUUUUAGCACUGUAAUACAAAGGGUUCACUGAAGAUUGGCCCAGAAUUUUUUUCACAGGAGAAAGUCACUGAGAAAACAGAAUGGAAAAUAUGUUUUGUUUAUUUGGUGACCUCUAUAGAUG